This is a long non-coding RNA of Macrobrachium nipponense, 733 nucleotides long. RefSeq lists it as uncharacterized. The record is from RefSeq and is a predicted model, not a curated record. Lineage: Eukaryota; Metazoa; Arthropoda; Malacostraca; Decapoda; Palaemonidae. The transcript is spliced from 4 exons.
CCAUGCAGAUUAGCGAGUACGUUUCUGGUCCAAAUGAUAUCGUAGUGUUUUGUUACCAAUACCCUUUCCGGAUUUACCGUGUAGUGCAUCACACAAUGCUAUAAGCAAGAGUAGUACCAUCCUUAUGAAAGAGAAAUGUCAACGAUUGCGUGUCAUAAGUGGUUCACGAAGACUGAAGAGAGUUAGCUACCCCAAACAAACAAUGCCAGCACUCUCUGAUCUAGGUAGCUAGUACUACUUACUAGUUUUCGACCAUAUCCGACAGCGAACUGCCUCCUCCACACAAGAGCAGGUCUUUUCGUUCAAGCAUUUAUCCCACUGACUACGGCUCUGCCAACAGGAGAGAUGAAGGUGAUGGGAAUAAAUGGCACUGUGCAUGAAACGUCAGUCUAAAACACAGAUUUUCUUGGAAUCUAAAACCCGUCUUGACUCUGACUACGAUUGACAGGAAUAAAAAUAAAAACUGAAGAAAAAUUCAGAAGCCAGGUAACUUCGUCUCAAGCUGCGAAAAAUUACUUUCCUUUCGCAAGUUUGACUUCAUACAAACCAGGAUGGUUCAUGGAACGGUGGCUUUUGCCCCUCAGUAUUUUUUUGAACGAGGUGAGAAUGGAGCCUGGCGUUGCUGAUGUCUUCAACUUUAUUCCAAAUGAUGUCCUGUGUUGAUGGCUCAAAAUUAAUACUUCAAUAAUUAGUAUUAAAUGAGGCACACGAAUUAUGACCUUAAUUAUCUUUA